Molecule: unclassified non-coding RNA, 151 nt
Filed under: uncultured Chaetomiaceae
Lineage: Eukaryota; Fungi; Ascomycota; Sordariomycetes; Sordariales
Description: sequence contains ITS2
Source: RNAcentral
CAACCAUCAAGCCCCGGGCUUGUGUUGGGGACCUGCGGCUGCCGCAGGCCCUGAAAAGCAGUGGCGGGCUCGCUGUCACACCGAGCGUAGUAGCAUACAUCUCGCUCUGGGCGUGCUGCGGGUUCCGGCCGUUAAACCCCCUUUAACCCAA